Molecule: ribosomal RNA, 765 nt
Filed under: Enterococcus sp.
Lineage: Bacteria; Bacillati; Bacillota; Bacilli; Lactobacillales; Enterococcaceae
Description: bacterial SSU rRNA
Rfam family: Bacterial small subunit ribosomal RNA
Source: RNAcentral
CUAAUACAUGCAAGUCGAACGCUUUUUCUUUCACCGGAGCUUGCUCCACCGAAAGAAAAAGAGUGGCGAACGGGUGAGUAACACGUGGGUAACCUGCCCAUCAGAAGGGGAUAACACUUGGAAACAGGUGCUAAUACCGUAUAACACUAUUUUCCGCAUGGAAGAAAGUUGAAAGGCGCUUUUGCGUCACUGAUGGAUGGACCCGCGGUGCAUUAGCUAGUUGGUGAGGUAACGGCUCACCAAGGCAACGAUGCAUAGCCGACCUGAGAGGGUGAUCGGCCACACUGGGACUGAGACACGGCCCAGACUCCUACGGGAGGCAGCAGUAGGGAAUCUUCGGCAAUGGACGAAAGUCUGACCGAGCAACGCCGCGUGAGUGAAGAAGGUUUUCGGAUCGUAAAACUCUGUUGUUAGAGAAGAACAAGGAUGAGAGUAAAACGUUCAUCCCUUGACGGUAUCUAACCAGAAAGCCACGGCUAACUACGUGCCAGCAGCCGCGGUAAUACGUAGGUGGCAAGCGUUGUCCGGAUUUAUUGGGCGUAAAGCGAGCGCAGGCGGUUUCUUAAGUCUGAUGUGAAAGCCCCCGGCUCAACCGGGGAGGGUCAUUGGAAACUGGGAGACUUGAGUGCAGAAGAGGAGAGUGGAAUUCCAUGUGUAGCGGUGAAAUGCGUAGAUAUAUGGAGGAACACCAGUGGCGAAGGCGGCUCUCUGGUCUGUAACUGACGCUGAGGCUCGAAAGCGUGGGGAGCGAACAGGAUUAGAUAC